AUACGGAGGGUGCAAGCGUUAAUCGGAAUUACUGGGCGUAAAGCGUGCGUAGGCGGUUUAUUAAGUCAGAUGUGAAAGCCCCGGGCUUAACCUGGGAACUGCAUUUGAUACUGGUAGACUAGAGUAUGAUAGAGGGGGGUAGAAUUCCUAGUGUAGCGGUGAAAUGCGUAGAUAUUAGGAGGAAUACCAGUGGCGAAGGCGGCCCCCUGGACCAAUACUGACGCUGAGGUACGAAAGCGUGGGUAGCGAACAGAAUUAGAAACCCUAGUAGUCC
RNAcentral lists this ribosomal RNA (274 nucleotides) under uncultured bacterium. Its description in RNAcentral is "partial 16S ribosomal RNA". It matches the Rfam family "Bacterial small subunit ribosomal RNA", at positions 523 to 796 of the family's 1533-position model. The record is from RNAcentral.